Betta splendens (Siamese fighting fish) is the source of this 2188-nucleotide long non-coding RNA. RefSeq lists it as uncharacterized. The transcript is spliced from 4 exons. The record is from RefSeq and is a predicted model, not a curated record. NCBI's taxonomy places the organism in Eukaryota, Metazoa, Chordata, Actinopteri, Anabantiformes, Osphronemidae.
UCAAAACAGCAGACAGAAACUGGUGCACGAUAAACUUACGGGGAGACGCUGGAAAGUUGUCACGGGUGGAUGAACAAACAAUCUGGCAAGGUGCUGGGCUUAGAGGUGGUGCUUAAAUACUAAUGAGCUGAUUACUGAUCGCAUGCAGGUGUGGGUAAUGACCGGUAAUGGCAGGGAACAGCUGUGGAGUGACAUAGCAGGAAGUAAAGCCGAAACAGAAACAGAAACCGGGAGUGCUACCAAAAUAAAACCGGAAAUGGAAACUGGAACCAAAAUAAAACAAGGAACAGAGCCAGAGACUGUGACAGUUUUGUGUUCUCAUAGUAUUGCUGGUAAUUCUGUAAUAUAUCGUAACACUGGUAAUGCGAAAGUAACAUCAGAUCAGAUGUCAUGCACAUAUGUGGAUGUGAUUUAUAGUUCUGUGGUUACUAAAAAGUAGCAGUCUGUAAAACAUGGUUGAGGGUACAGCACAAAGACAUGAGUCAGCACCAACCGCAAAUUUGAAUGUUUGUUGCUUCAUAAGUCCGGACAAUGUGAACUGUUGGACUUUUUGUCACACUACAUGUCGCAGUUUGUGGUUUGCUUUUGAAAUGCAUCAAUUUAGGUUCUGUUUUAAUCUGAGCUCACACAGUGGCUCCAAACAAUCAAUAUUAGAUAGUUAGAUAUUCAAAAUUGACCCUCACCUCAUCUCACAGCAACAACACAUCAAAACAAUCAGACAAAGGCUAUAACUGUUAAUGUAAAGUAAAUAACUCAUUCAUGAAUCUCUAAAAAUAAAUUCAUAUACUAAGAGCAUAUUUAGAAACAAUUAUAUAAUUUAGUUAUAAUUCAUAUUAAUAUCAUGUUUAAUAUAAAUGAGUAUAUCUUAUUACUUUUCCUAUCCUCACUUGAACUGUCAGAAUAUUAUUUUUUUCUAAAUGUUUUUCCACUAUCUAUCUUUUGUCCUAGACAUAAUUCUCAAUGAAAAAUGUUCCAAAAAAUUCUUAUUCACCUUUAAAUUUUGAGUUAAUUCACCAUAUAUAAUGUAGCAUUUAAAUGUUAAUAAAUAAAUAGUCUGUACUGAAUGCAAUGUGUUUGUAUGUAAUCGCUUAUUCCACAUGACACUAGCAUUCUGAUGCAACUACACUGCCAUUAAAAUACUUGUGGUGAUAAUAGUUGUGCAUGUGAGAUGUAAGAAGAUUGGGCAGUGGUCGACCUCUGGUUUUGUCAGGGAUUUGCAGCAUCACUACAGUUCAUGAGGCAUCAGUGAAAGCUAUGGAUUCUAUCACUAUUCUGUGACUCUAUAAAUGCCUGACAACAAAAGCUAAUUAUUUUGUAAAAUAAAUUAUCUUAAAUCUGAUCUAAUAGAAGAAGACAAUGUGGUGUGACGAUACCAUUGAAAAGUUUAAUCUGUGUGUCACCAGAGGUAAAAGGUAUAGAGAUAUGAAGCGAUGCAGGCUGAGUGGGUCCUGUGUGAAAGCCUCAAAGUUAAUAGAUAGAACAAGAGACCAUGAGUGGAGUGAUGACAGAGAGCAGCUCCUGGUAUUUGUGUGUUAAAUGAGAUUUACAGAUGCUAGUGCAUCUGCAUUAAAUGUUACUGACAAACCCUCCACUUGUAAAUACUAUUACGUAACAUGAUUUUAUAUUAGUCACUGACUAUAAAAGGGAUAUUUAAUUUGUACGUAUUGUAUUAAUGUAAAAAAUGUAUUAUGUAUUAUCGUAUUACUACACUGUGCCACUUUACAGCUACUCUCUGCAACAACAGGUUUUAUCACACUAUCAGCCACCACUGAAACUGAGUCUCACAUGUGUUGCUGUCAACAAAACCACACCAUGAACAGCAUGUCAGUAUACAGUAUUUCCGCUAUCAUUGUGUAUUAAAUAGGCAAAUAUUAACAUUAUAGUCUUCCAUUUGUCUUACUGUUCUAUAAAUUUUAUUGUAUCGUUUAUUGUACAUUGCAUUUCUUGCUGUCUUGUGUGAGGCUGUCUUUAUUUGCAUGUUCAACUGAAAUGUACAGAGAGAAUAUAGAAAUAUGUAAAAGUACAUAAAAGAAGCAAGUACCGAUGUUCAAUCAUCUGCAACUGCUACAGAUUAAUUUGGAAUAUUUAAAAUGUAGAAUGUUUUGACUUCUGUGUUUCGCAUCUCCUCCUCCUCCUUGACCCGGAGGACAAAUACUGAAAGUGUUGUGGACUUAAUCUAUUUUUCUGA